UAUGUACUCUCUCCAUUCAGAAUUACUCGUCCAAGAAAUGAAUGUAUCUAGAUGUAUUUUAGUUGUAGAUACAUCCAUUUUUGUGACAAGUAAUUCCGAACGGAGGGAGUACGCA
This is a non-coding RNA of Triticum aestivum (bread wheat), 115 nucleotides long. NCBI's taxonomy places the organism in Eukaryota, Viridiplantae, Streptophyta, Magnoliopsida, Poales, Poaceae. The record is from Rfam.